Molecule: ribosomal RNA, 253 nt
Filed under: uncultured bacterium
Lineage: Bacteria
Description: partial 16S ribosomal RNA
Rfam family: Bacterial small subunit ribosomal RNA
Source: RNAcentral
UACGUAGGGUGCAAGCGUUGUCCGGAAUUAUUGGGCGUAAAGAGCUCGUAGGCGGUCUGUCGCGUCGGCUGUGAAAUCCCGGGGCUCAACCCCGGGCCUGCAGUCGAUACGGGCAGACUAGAGUGCGGUAGGGGAGACUGGAAUUCCUGGUGUAGCGGUGAAAUGCGCAGAUAUCAGGAGGAACACCGGUGGCGAAGGCGGUCUGCUGGGCAGUUGCUGACACUGAGGCGCGACAGCGUGGGGAGCAAACAGG